This 497-nucleotide ribosomal RNA is filed under the name uncultured bacterium. RNAcentral's name for it is "partial 16S ribosomal RNA". It matches the Rfam family "Bacterial small subunit ribosomal RNA", at positions 28 to 507 of the family's 1533-position model. The record is from RNAcentral.
GAUGAACGCUGGCGGCGUGCCUAAUACAUGCAAGUCGAGCGAACAGACGAGGAGCUUGCUCCUCUGACGUUAGCGGCGGACGGGUGAGUAACACGUGGAUAACCUACCUAUAAGACUGGGAUAACUUAGGGAAACCGGAGCUAAUACCGGAUAAUAUAUUGAACCGCAUGGUUCAAUAGUGAAAGACGGUUUUGCUGUCACUUAUAGCUGGACCCGCGCCGCAUUAGCUAGUUGGUAAGGUAACGGCUUACCAAGGCAACGAUGCGUAGCCGACCUGAAAGGGUGAUCGGACACACUGGAACUGAGACACGGUCCAGACUCCUACGGGAGGCAGCAGUAGGGAAUCUUCCGCAAUGGACGAAAGCCUGACAGAGCAACGCCGCGUGAGUGAUGAAGGUCUUCGGAUCGUAAAACUCUGUUAUUAGGAGAGUAGAAAUGUGUAAGUAACUAUGCACGUCUUGACGGUACCUAGUCAGAAAGCCACGGCUAACUACGUG